CCUGGUGUCUCUAGCGGUUUGGACCCACUCUGACCCAUCCCGAACUCAGGUGUGAAACAGACCAGCGGCGAAGAUAGUCGGACGGUAGCGUCCCGCAAAAAUAGCUCGAUGCCAGGU
This 117-nucleotide ribosomal RNA is filed under the name Pantanalinema sp. GBBB05. The record is from RNAcentral. Lineage: Bacteria; Bacillati; Cyanobacteriota; Cyanophyceae; Leptolyngbyales; Leptolyngbyaceae.